This 388-nucleotide ribosomal RNA is filed under the name uncultured Glomeromycotina. RNAcentral's name for it is "SSU rRNA". It matches the Rfam family "Eukaryotic small subunit ribosomal RNA", at positions 675 to 1065 of the family's 1831-position model. Lineage: Eukaryota; Fungi; Glomeromycota. The record is from RNAcentral.
CUAGCUUGCUGAUUUCCCUCCUUUCUUGUAGAACCGUAACGCCAUUAAUUUGGUGUUGCGGGGAAACAGGACUGUUACUUCUGAAAAAAUUAGAGUCGUUUAAAGCAGGCUAGCGCCUGAAUACAUUAGCAUGGAAUAAUGAAAUAGGACGUUCGAACCUAUUUUGUUGGUUUCUAGGAUUGACGUAAUGAUUAAUAGGGAUAGUUGGGGGCAUUAGUAUACAAUUGUCAGAGGUGAAAUUCUUGGAUUUAUUGAAGACUGACUACUGCGAAAGCAUUUGCCAAGGAUGUUUUCAUUAAUCAAGAACGAAAGUUAGGGGAUCGAAGACGAUCAGAUACCGUCGUAGUCUUAACCAUAAACUAUGCCGACUAGGGAUCGGAUGAUGUUA